Molecule: non-coding RNA, 136 nt
Organism: Thermobacillus composti KWC4
Lineage: Bacteria; Bacillati; Bacillota; Bacilli; Caryophanales; Paenibacillaceae
Source: Rfam
UAGCUGGUGCAAGUCCAGCCGGGGUAAAGGCCAAGCUGCCCCGUAGCUAGCAGGCAACUUAGGGAGAAAUCCGUGGGUUGAAGCCCUGGGGCGGCCAACCGAUUUCUGGCGAAGAUCGACUGGUACCUCAUCAAGA